This is a long non-coding RNA of Macaca fascicularis (crab-eating macaque), 2995 nucleotides long. The record is from Ensembl. Lineage: Eukaryota; Metazoa; Chordata; Mammalia; Primates; Cercopithecidae.
UAAAGCUCAGAAAGGAGAUGGAAAAUACUGUUUUUGAUAGUGACCAGGAAAGGCUCUUUUAAGAAGAUGAGAGUUGAGCAGAGAGCUGAAGCCACAUAGAUACCUGGAACAAGAGCUGUCCAAAUAGGAGAACUUUGUGGUAGAUGAAUGCAGAAGUUACCUUCUGAUUGCUCUUUUCUCUGUGAAAGAAGCAGCAGAAUUAUCAGCUGAAAAGGGGUAAGAGGGUUAGAGGUUUUGCAAAAUAGUCUAGGAGAGUAAGAUGUUGAAUUUACCAGUGGUAUGUAGUAGGAUUGUGAGGGCCCAUCUUGGGCUGUGAGUCGAACUUUAAAAUGAAACUAAUAAGCAUAACUGUACCUCUUUCCUCUAGCUAUAUUCAUUGCUUGGUAGAAAGUUGGGUUUAACCACAGUUGGAUACAAGGAAUAGAGGAGGAGCAAGGGAAUUUAGAAUGUAUACAAGGGAGUGACUCUCAUUUAAGCUACAAGAGCACAAAAUGGGUGCUGGAUAGAGAUGGGUAGUGAUGGGUAGCGGGCUUAGUUGUUUGGAGGUCCCAUUGAGGUUAAAGAGCUUUUAAGAGUAUAGAUGUCAGAAAGAAUGAGUUGGCAAGAUAAGAUGUAGUGGUUAGGAUAUGAAAAGCUUGGAAUUGAGAUUUGGGGGAAGUUUAGAUAACGACAAGACUAAGGGGAAUAAGUGGUUGAGAUGUUAUUAAAGAUAACUAGAGGUAGGGAUGUGAGAACUUAGAGCUCAGGGUUUCAAAUGGAUCAUCUAUUUGAUUAUUAAAAUUUUCCCCCCAAAAAUGACAGGAAUAAUCCUGGGGACACAGGGACUGUAAAUGAUUGCAAUAAGGAGGAGUGGCAAGGGGAUAUGCUGAGGGCGUGAGGUAGGCAAGGAGGAAGAAUAAUCCAGAUGCCUACAGAGGAGUUGAGGGAUGCCUGCCCGGGGUUUAGCAUCAAACACAGCCAUCCUUUGACAGGUUUGGAGGAAGAUAAUAUCUCAAGACAGCCAGGUUUCAGUUAGCAUGUGUGGAGACUGACAUAAACCAAAAUAUAGUCAUUAGAAGAGUAAUCCUGAUGGGAAGUGGAUAAUUCAUUCUCAUUGCCGUCUUUUGGCCAUUUGCUUUGUGAGGCAGGGAGUGUUGGGUGAGAUCAAGGGGUAAGAUUGUCAGGAAUUCUGUGAGCUGCUUUUUCAACUAACUAAAAACAGAUAGUGGUUCUUAGUGUUAGUGGUAGGGAUCAGAUCAGAAUUUCCUGGGAGAGCUUUUUGGAUACCUCAAUUCAUAUUCACUACCUGAUUAGGGACCUGGCGAGAGAUACAUUAAAAUGCAUAUAUUAAUUAUUAAAAGUAUUCAUACAUUAAUAUGUAUAUAUGUGUGUGGCAAAUGCUAUUUGAUAGCUAUUUGGGGAUUUGACUGUUACGUAUUCAACUUGUGAGGCUAGGAAAUGCACAUAUUAGCAAAGUGUUAUAUUAAAUAAACCGUGAGCCCUCCUCUUCUAAAUAUCUUCUCACUAAAAUACUUUUGAAGACAUAGGAAAAGAUGAAAACUCACAACAAAGUUGAAAAUAACAUUGCGGACGUUAUCUAGAGAAAACUAAAACUUACUGAAAGAAGACGAGUUAUGAAAAAAAUGAACACUCAGCCGGGUGUGAUGGCUCACGCUUGUAAUCCCAACACUUUGGCAGGUCGAGGUGGGAGGAUCUCUUGAGGCCAGGAGUUUGAGACCAUCCUUGGCGGCAUAGCAAGACCCCAUCUCCAUAAAAAAUAAAAAUAAAAAAUUAGCCAGUUGUGGUGGUAUGUGCCUGUAGUCCUAGCUGCCUGGGAGCCUGAGGUGAGAGGAUUACUUGAGCCCAGGAGUUUGAGGCUGCAGUGAGCUACAGUUGCACCAUUGUAAUCCAGCCUGGAUGACAGAGCAAGACUCUGUCUCAAAGGAAAAAAAAAACAAAUUUUUAAAGAAAAAAUUAAGAACACUCAAGCUUUGGCACGUGAAACCUGAAAAACAAAAAUAGGAGAUACUACAUAAUUCAUUCAUCUUUUGCCUCUGAAUUUAGAGACAGGCUCUGUAUCAACCAGAAAAUUGGUAUCCUCCUCCCGCCUGCAUUGUUAUAAUAACUGUAAGAACUAGUACUUAAUAUAAAACAAGUGGGUGGGAAGUAUGUAUGUGUACUUGGUUUAAGUGGAGAAGGUAAUCAUAAUCAGGGGACAUAGAAGCUAUUAAUGUAUUCAUUGCCUUCAGUUUAGACAUGGGCAGAUCCAAAAAUUAAAAUUUUUUUUUGUUUCCUUUAGUAAACAAUGCACAGUUCUGUGGAUUUUCAUUUUUGGACCAAUGAGCAUUACUUAAAAGUAAUUACUUACUAGUAAUGUUAUUACUUACUAAUAAGUAAAUUACUAAAGACCACUAAAAUGUGUUUCCACAAAUGAAAAUCAAUGUUUUAUUAGAGUUUUUAGGACUCUACUUAUAAGAUGCCUGGUUCCUGUACAAGGUUUAUAAUUUUGCAAUAAUGCACAAAAGUGUUUAUACAGGUGUUGUCACACAGCAGGUCAGACAACUGACAGAAACUAUCCUACGGUCAGUACUCAAGCAUUUUCUUAUGAAUGUAUCAUCCUGUUGGGAGGUAUUCAUGGUUUUUCUGCUAUUUUUGCAUUUCAGAUAUGUAUUAUUUUAGCUUGAUAACCAUUGAGAUUGCUAUAGAUUAUUUGAUUUGUGUAUAAUGAUGUAUAUAUGCAUAUUUCACUAUAUUUUUCUAGUUUUCUAUAACUGAGUUUUAAAUAUUUUUGGUAGAAUAAUAUGCUUUCAUUGCUAAAAAUACAUACCCCUCUAUAUUGCUUAUAACAUUUCGAUGAUGUAGCCAGUGAAUAUGUGCUAAUUUAAAUAACUUGUAUAUAGAAUUAAGCCAACUGCCAUAUUAUAACUGGGUUCUUUUUAACUUAAUAGGAUAUUGUUUUAUAAUAUUAAAUCGUAUGUUUAAGCUCAUUCUCUUUAAAAAUAAACAAGCAAUUUCU